CUCUCUUUAGACUGGUAUUUAUUGGUGAGCAUUAGGAAUAAAACAUUCUCAGUGUCAACUUCCUACCUCCUUUUUUUUUUUUUUUUUUGCAGUACGUCGGCCUCUCACUGUUGUGGCCUCUCCCGUUGAGGAGCACAGGCUCCGGACGUGCAGGCUCAGCGGCCAUGGCUCACGGGCCCAGCCGCUCCGGGGCAUGUGGGAUCUUCCCGGACCAGGGCACAAACCCACGUCCCCUGCAUCAGCAGGCAGACUCUCAACCACUGUGCCACCAGGGAAGCCCCCCUACCUCCUUUUGAAGGUGGUGAAAUUUUCCUAGGAUGGCUUAAGGAGAAUGAAAUACAUUUUCUUUGCUAAAUUGGGUCUUAUAAUUUCAAGCUCAUUUUAUCAUUUUCUCAUCUGAUCUUUUGUAACUUGCCUUGAGCUAUUUGACACUUAGCAGAUCUUUGCCUACCUACCUCAAUGAAAAGGGUACCCAACAGAACAAAUCCCACAAUGGAAGAAAGGGAAAGAGUAACUCCUCCCAAAUCCCAGUGAAACCUUGGGUUCCCACGCUGUCCUGUCUGGCCUGCAUGCACGAGUGGGUUCUGGGAACAAAGUUUCCAGAAGGAGUGUGACUUUCAUGAUUAAUUGCGUUCCCUGAAAGACUCUGCCUUAACCAUGCAGGGUCUUCUACAAAGAAAAUUUUACAUUUUGCUAUGAAAGGAUCAAACAGAUAAUACUAGUUAGAAUCAAAUUUUUUGAAAGGUCAGGUUCAUAGAAGCCUGCAACUAAUAAUUAUUGACUUGAGUACAUGUUGGCAAACUUUUAAAGAAACGUAAAGAAGUUUAUGGGGAAAAAUGUUAACCUCAUCUAUCAACCCUAAUUGAAAACGGCCAGAGGAAUAUAAAAAUGGAUGGAAGCCAGCAUUAGGGCUGAAAAUUAGAGAAGUCUUCACCCACAUGCCACCAACUUGGAGGAAGUUCUGCCCGAUAUAGUGCAAACUGCAGGAGGCUACCUUGGCCACACCACAGGUAUCCUUUUUUCAGAAAAAGCUAGGGUGUGCAAAAAAGUAAGUAGAAGAGAUUCAACUAGUCCCCACCGUCAGUAAUAACCUCCAGUUUCCAGGCAUGAGAGCUGAGAGGGGUCUGCCUCUGUGCAGACUGGGAAUAUUUACUCUACUUGUAACCCCUUUUCCCAGAGUGGAUCCACAAUUCAGAAUCAGCUCCUGCAGGAAGCCCAAGGCCAAACUGGGCCUGAGGACAGCAGGCCUUCCUGAUGCAGUGGUGGGGCAUCCAGAAGUUUUCCUCAAAUUUCUGUGAUUCCUGGUUGUCAGACAACGAGGAUGAAGGACUGGGCCUGGCUCAGUAGAUUAUUUAAUUUUGUAUGGUUUAGUCACAAUUCUACUGAACAGAGACUUCAAGACAUGGAUAAUCAGACAUGAACUUUAUUUCUACUAUUCAGACAAAGGAGGAAGAAGUGGACCAGCAUUGUUUGUUAAGCUUCCUUUUAGGUAAAUAAAUCAUGAUAAUAUGAUAUAUGCAAAUAUUGACAACACUAAAUGCAGGGCUCAU
This is a long non-coding RNA of Orcinus orca (killer whale), 1550 nucleotides long. RefSeq lists it as uncharacterized. The record is from RefSeq and is a predicted model, not a curated record. Lineage: Eukaryota; Metazoa; Chordata; Mammalia; Artiodactyla; Delphinidae. The transcript is spliced from 3 exons.